Long non-coding RNA from Globicephala melas (long-finned pilot whale), 6451 nucleotides. RefSeq lists it as uncharacterized. The record is from RefSeq and is a predicted model, not a curated record. Lineage: Eukaryota; Metazoa; Chordata; Mammalia; Artiodactyla; Delphinidae.
AAUCGCUCUCCUGGCAUUUCUAAUUAAAGGCAAGUGGGUGAGCAGAGAGGGGAGGGUGGAGGGGCAGCACAGAGCAGGGAGGGGGAGUCGGGCCAGAAGCUGCGAGAACAGGAACCCCCGAGCGUGCGAGCCUGUGUGUAAGAUGCCUGUGCCGCGGCGAGCGGGCUGGUCACCGCGGGGCCUGAGUGGAGCCGCGAGCCCGCGACCGUGUCUGGGUGAGCCCAGGCCUGCGUCCGAGGGCCCUGCUCUGGAAAGGCACGCGAUGCGCCAGCUGGGCAGGGACCUCGCUCGCACACCUGCGUUGUGUGUGCGCGCGCGCGUGCACACGCAUGCGGUGGGAGUGCCAGAACCAUCACUCGAGUGACCAGGAGCCACCCCUCCACUUCCUCCCACGGUUGACAAAGGCCAUGUGGCCCCUGGGGGCCGGCACCCAGACCCAGGAGCCCUGACCAGCUGGGCGGCCCAGGCAGGAGACUGGAAGGGGAGGCAUCCCCUUUGUGGGGGGGGGCAGGCAGGAGAGGGGAUCUUAGGGCAGCCCAGCAGGCAGGGCUGGUCUUGACCCAGACCCUUGGUGGGCCAUCUGCGUGGCCAGCCCAGCCUGACGUGUGGCGGGGGGGCACGGCCCAGAGGCUGCAUUCGCGAGGCCGCCGUGACAGGUGACAGGCCACAGCCACUGAUCCGGGAACACCUAGUUGCUACCAGCUUUCGCGCCAGAAGCCCUCAGCACACCCCACACUGCAGCCUCAGGCUCCACUCUUCCGCCUGCGCGAAGGGGCCUGGCCAGCUCCCAUGCCUGAGGUGGGGGCUGCCCCCGCCCUGCUCCUCCGUGCCCCCCUCCCACAGGCAGCCUCACCCAGAGCAGGACGACUCAGGGCCACAGGCCGAGCGCGGCAGGUGGAGCGGGGAGCCAGGCCUGGGCCUGGAGGCGGGGGGCCUGGGCUUCCCCAGCUCUCAGAACCAGGCUGGUCUGCUGCUCCUCAGGCCUGCCAGCUCCCGAGGUCUCGCCUGCCUUAGAAGAUGGGGGCUUUGCGGGGGAGGGUAGGCAGGCAGGGUGACCACAGGAGGGUCUGCCCAGCGCUGGGAGCCACGCAGCCCCCAUUCCAGCCCCUCUGGGGCUCUGCCCCUCUGCCCCUAGGGCCCCGGGCUCCCAGACCCCAGGUGAUGCUCUCCUGAUGCUAAGAUGCUUAUUUCGACGGGGGUCUCCCCGCAAGUCCACAGCCUCAGGAAACCCACCCCAAACAGAGCCCUGGGUGUCUCCACUUUCCCCGGACAGCCCCCGCCCUCCCAGCAGCUGCUGCCUUCCCAGGGCUGCUCUGUGACCAAGUCCUCCCCAACGGGGCUCACACACCGGCCUCUGCAGACCCCUCAGUGCCAGUCCCUGGGCCCCCAGAGGUGCUGGAGGUACCCCUCAGCAGGGCAGAACAGGCCGUGCAACCCGAGCUCCCUCCCCGGCCCUCCUGGGGGCCGGAGCUGACCUGCCCUCGAGCAGGGCCCCGGCCACAGUCCUGCGACUCCCAGCCUCACGUGAGCACCCAGCACUCCCAGGAGCACCUUGGGGCGGAGCUCCCGCACCUCCCGCACUCACGCUCUCCCGGCCAUCUGCCCAGGAGCCACUGUGGCAGCUGCUCGCGGAGGAGAAGCUGGGCCAGGGCAGCUGUCCGCCGCUCAGUCUAACCUGACCCUUACUGCCUGGCUUUGGCCUGGGGUCCAAGUACCCACCCUCCACAUGUACCCACUGCCCGUCCUGCGCCCAGGGGGACCGUCCUGGGUCACGUGGCCUCAUCCCAUCUCCUCGUGCCCGCCGGGAGCCUGCCCCGUCUCCCCGCAGCGGGCCGCUCCUUCCUUCGGCCCAAAGCCAGGCCUCCCGCGGUGCUGCUUCCCUCUCGCUGGCCGCGACUCUGGCACCAGGGCCCGUGUCUGCACCUCACAGCUGAGUCGCCGGAGCCUGGAACAGACCACACAUUUGGGAUGAGCUGUGGAACGGACAAAGUUAUGGGCCCUUCUCCCUCCCUUGCUGGUUGGGAAGCAUUUGGCCGUUGGCCACCUGAGCCUCAACUUUCCACCUGUAAAAUGGGGUGACAGUGCCAGGGCCUGGCGUCCAGCGAGGCCGAGUGCUGGCCCUCUUGCCUCACCCGCUCCCCGCCCGAGGACUUCCCCCACCUCGUCCUGCCGACAGCCUCCCGUCAGAGUGUCACCUCUGGGAUCUGGGAGGUGGGACGUGGUCAGGACCCCCUCCCUGUGGCCCCUCGGGAGGGGCUGCAGUGCUACUUCCUUGCUCUGCCCCCGAGGCAGCACUGGGGCCAGGGACAUCUGUGCAGGCCCCGGUGAUGAGGGGCGAGCAGCGGUGCUGGGGGAGCAACUGGCAGAAGGGGUCUGAGCCUAGGCAGCUGGGAGGAUGCCAGGCCCCCUGUGGGCCUUCCCCGCCAUGGCCAGCGUCCAGCCACCACCCUCCUCUGAGACCACCUGCAGCGGGGCCAGACCGCAGGGAGGGAGAGACAGGGACGGCCGAGGGCUCGGACACAGGGUUUAGAGCUGAGAUCGGGAAAGAGAGCGUCCAGGUGGGAGAUGGAGGGGCAGCGAGAGGGAGAGACGCCAGGGCUGGCGGGCUCCUGUCUCGGGAGAUGUUCUCCCUCAUCUCACAGAGGUUCUGCGAGGUGGGGGCCCUCCCCAAGCCCUGAGCCGGCAGGUGACACAGCUGGGGUCCCUCUGCCACACCUGCCCAAGAGGUCUGCUGCAGCAGAGCAGGCCCUGAGAGACCCCGGGAGGCCAGGGCAGAGCGGGGAGGGGUCUCGGGAGACCCGGCAGGGCAGGGCAGGGCACUCGCUGACCUGAGACGGGAGCUGCCCAGGGAGGGGGCAGGGCCCGCCUCGGGGCCGUGGGAAGCAGCAGGCGCUGGGCCACGGGGAGGCUGCAGGGACAGUUUUUCCCAUCCUUGCCCCUCCUCCCGGACUUCCUCCUCUCUCCCGGUUUGGCAGGGUGCGGGCUGCGUCCUGUCCCCGGAACAGGCAGCCUGUUCAUUCCGGGCCUCCACACUCCAGACUGUCUUCCCUCCUCCCUCCUGCCUUAGCGCCUCCCGGUCCGGUCUUCAAGGAAAGUUUUGUAUUUUUCCGAUGAUCCUGGCACGGCGGUGCCCGACCCAGCUGCUCCUUGCAUCCUCCAGGCCAGGGGGCCGAGCCGCGGGGCCAUAGGCACAGGUGUGGGAAGCCCAUCCUCAAAGGACCUUCAUUCCUCACCACCCCCAGCCAUGGUAGAAGGGAAACCAAGGCCCCGAGAGGGUCUGGGGCUGGUCUGAGCCCCUCAGCCGGGAAGCCAAAGCCAGGAAAGGCUGGUGCGAGGAUGUGGGGAUGGGCCCGCCAGCUCCCGGAGGCGUCGUGAGCACGGUUCACCUCCUGCGUGACUGCGGGUCCUGAGCUUGCUCUGGGCACAUGGAGUAGACAGACCCCUGCUUCCUACCCUGAAGAGUCUCCGUCCGGCCAGAGGUGCCCCAUACCCCAAGUGUGCCAGCAGCCCAGAGGGGCCCUGCCAGGCAGGGACAGCCUGAGGAGCAAGCACAGUGCGCCAGCCUCCACCGCUCACUUCCGGAGCCAUAAAAGGAGCGAGGCUGAGAAUAGCUCGUGUGACGGCGCGAGGAGCUUCCCCACGCAGGUGCAGGCAGCAGGCUGCGGCAGCGAAGACGAGCUCUGUCCCAGCUCCUCCCUGGCCCGUGGUCCCUCCUCCAUGCCCUCUGCUGCCUCUCCCUCCCCGCCCUGGGGGCUGGGGCCUGAGCCCCCAGCCCUUCGAGCUGCCUGCCCCACCUGGCCGUCUCGUCCACAGGCCACCUGGUCCAGCUGAGGGCUCCCUCCUGGGCUCCUGAUCCCACAGCCGCCGACCCGGGUGCCCUGCCCAGCUGCAGGCUCCUGGGCGACCCCAGGCUGGCAUCUUCCCCCACUCCCCCCGCCCCCCCCGAAGGUGGGCACCUCCCUGUCUGCUGUCGGCCUCUCAGAUGCCAGGCAUGGGCCACGAUGAUCUUCGGCCCUCAGGGGCCCAGGGUCUGCCGGGCCUCAGCCUCCUGGCCCCAGGUCUCAGCUCGACAUAUCCCCGGGCUGCCCCACAGGGUGCCUCGAUGGGCAUCUGUCCCUGGGGCACUGUCCGCUCCCUCCGGCUCUGUGCUCUGCCGUUGCUGCCGCGUAGUUCUUACUAACUGAACGAAGGGCCUGUGCUUCUGUUCUGCCACGGACCCCGCCAGUUAUGCAGCCGGUCCCACCUGCCGGGGUCGCCUUCUUGGUUCUGGGGUCUCUCUGGAAAGAGGAUCGACACAGAAGGCGUGCGGGAGGAGGGGCCCCACUGUGUGCUGAGCAUUUCCCUGUGCCUUGGAACAGGCUGGGCAAACCACCUUUGUCAGCCACUCUACAGAUGAGGAAGUUGAGGUGCGGAGAGCGUGGGAACUGUGCUUGGGGAACCAGCUGGUGAGCAAAUGACCGAGACUCCUGGCCCUGAGGCCGAUCCUGUCUGACUGUCCGCUGCCAUCGGCCACUGUCAAAGUCCAGGGUCGGGCUACUCCGGACACCCUCUGAGCCUCAGUUUCUUCAGCUGAUGGGGGAGGGUUGCCCCUCGGAGGUUCAGGGUGGGGGGCGGGUCAGCAGGACCCCUGACCCGCAUGCCUUGUUCCCAACCCGUGUCCCCUCUUCUGCAUCCUUGGUCCUAAGAUCCGUGUCCAGGCAGCUGCCUGACCAGGGGGUGGCAGCAACCUCUGGAAGCGCUCCCUAGGGUGGGGGGGCCGCCAUGCCGGGUGGCUGGGGGAGCCCAGGGAGGGUGAUGACGUCUCGGACAUUCGCCUGCCCUACCACGUGCUGGCACUGUGCCUCUUCCUGGUUUGGGGGUGCCUGUCUGAUCCCCACAAGCCAGUGCAGACCCCGGAGGCCCGCACAGACCACUAGGCUCCUUCCCCCAUCCCGGCACAGCACAGCGCCCGCCUCCUCCUGUCCCCGCCUCCCUCCCCUGGCUGAGCUCCAGCCGGCUGUUAAGACUGUGACGUCCCAAGAGUCAGGAAUCGCCUGAGAUGGCCGAGGAGCUGGGUGCACAGCCCAGACUGCCAUGGGUGUCCCCGCCCGCACCCCACUUCAUGGAUUCUUCUAAACACACCCUCACUCCUCCCUGGCCACGCAGACUGGGCGUCAGGCCCCCGGGCGGGGGCGGGGGCGGGGCAUCACGUCAGGGGACGGGCCCCUAAGAGAAGGCCCGGCAGCAGGGCUGGGGGGCCGCAGGCUCAGGCCGGGUUGGGCCUCAGAGCGAGGAAGGGUAGAGCCAGCCGUCCUGGGGGUCGGCGCUGCCCACCAGCUCUGGAAGCAGGCUCGCCCCGCCCCGUGCUGGCGCCGGCCCAUGACUGCCCUAUGGACAGGUGUCCUCCCUGGAGGUGCCGCCCUUGGCCCUCAGCUGGAGGUGAGGAGCCUCUGGGACCCCUCAGGUUUCGGGCGGAGGCAGGGGUGGGCUCCAGGGCCCUCCCCGCCACGGCCCACUCGCCCAGACCCACGGCCGCCCCUGCCCUCUGCUCCCCUUCUGCCUGGGUCCCAGCCUGGUGAUCUCCCACCACCCCUCCCUCGUUCUCUCCCUCUGUCCGGUCUCUGAAUCCAGGCCUGGUGCCCACUGGCCCGGCCCCUCAGCCCUCCUGCAGACGGUGGUCUUUGUCGGCCCUGUCCUUGUCCACCCAGAAGGAGACCAGGCCCUCCGGUGUGCACUGCCUCUAGGGCUGCGGGGCAAACCACAGGGCAGAGAGGAGAGCUGGCGGGGAGGCCCGGAUGCGGCCUCUGGGGGCAGAGGUCUGAGCCCCAGCCCGGAGGUCGGGGUGAGGUUUCAGGGCCCUGCGCUGAGAAACGGGGGCCUUUCCACAGACCCCCGGCCCAGCCCCCAGCAGGCGUCCGCAGGCCCGCAGGUCCACUCUGGUAACGGCCCCAAACACCCCUCCUCCUGGAGAGGGUGGGGGACACUGAGACCGACUGGGGGCUGCUCCGCGCUCUCCGCCCUGACGGCACCGCCCAUCCCAGAACCAGGCUGUCCCCAGGGCCCUGUGUACCCCCAACAGGUGGGGCUUGGGGGCUUGGCUCCCUCACACCAGGUUGGGGCAGAGACUGGGGAGCCUCGGGGAGGAGUUGAGACACCCCUAGACACUGGCCUCUCCCCUCCCCUGCAGAGUCAGGACUCCCACACGCUGCCCUCCCUCCCAGGCCCUCCUCCCAGCCCAGCUCGGCCCCAGGACCUAUCCGAGCCGGCCUGUCACCCAGCAACUUACCGCCUACCACCCGCUUCCAUGGGCAGGGGCAGCUUGGGGAGCCGUCCAUCUCCUGCUACCCCAGCCCCUGCCGGGGGCAGCCAAGUGGAAAUGGGCCCUCCAUUUACAGCCUAAGCACCGCACGAGGAAGCCACAUUCGCUGAACUGGGCAGGCGCCGCAUUUUUCUAAAUAAACGUAAAAUGCCA